UCUGAUCACGGCGACCCGGAUCAGUCAGCGUUUCUUAGACGGCCUGUGAAGUGGAUAUAAACACGCUGCUCCCAAGCCCUUAGGAGUCCUGCCCGGAGCCUCGUGAGUCAGUCCAGGGUUUUUAAAGAUGAAUGGCUGUGAGCCGACUUCUCAGGAAGAUUAGCCACGGGUCGUGGCUGUGCUUGCCAGGGCCGGCCGGUGCAGGGCCCGGUCACGUGGGCCCGGAAGCCGGCAGACAGCCUGACACGGCUCAGCUGGGAGGGCCACAGGCUGCCAUCUUUCCGCGCGCUGGGGACGCUUCCCCAUCUGGUCGUUUCUUUUUGUCGUUGAGUAAAGCGCACACCAUGUCAACAGGGCCCUUUUAUAUUUAGAUUUUUAAAGCCGGAGAAACUUCUUUAUUGUGAAAUAUCAGCAUACCUAGAAGAAUGUGCCAAGAGCCAAAAAAGCAGAGCUCCGCGGAACGUCACAAAGUAAGAGAAAAAUGCUCACACUCUCUGGCUGGGCAGUCCCCUUCCUGGAACCUGUCCUGCAGAAAUGCUGCCCAGAGCGCUUCAACCUGGAUGGACCAGAAUGUCCGUCCCUGCUGACCGUAAGCACACAGCAUCGGACGCCGUCUAAACGUCGUGGGCAAGAGAAGAAUGCACAUGCGUUCCAUAGAAUAUUCCGCAGCCAUUACAGAUCUGAGGGAGACGCGCAUCACACAGAUCUGACCGGGAAAGGCAGCCGCGGGAUGUGUUUCAUGCCCACAACCUGGGAGGCGACACGUCGGCCGCGUUCACUUUACCUUCGGAAAGUAGGGUUGGCGGGUGGGGGACCCCCACUGCUUCCUCUGUGCGGCCUGUGUUGGUAACUUGCUGGUAAGCCUGCAGUUGCUUUUGUAAUUAAAAUAAUAAUAAUAAUA
Long non-coding RNA from Hyaena hyaena (striped hyena), 901 nucleotides. RefSeq lists it as uncharacterized. The transcript has 3 exons. The record is from RefSeq and is a predicted model, not a curated record. NCBI's taxonomy places the organism in Eukaryota, Metazoa, Chordata, Mammalia, Carnivora, Hyaenidae.